Molecule: long non-coding RNA, 892 nt
Filed under: Homo sapiens (human)
Lineage: Eukaryota; Metazoa; Chordata; Mammalia; Primates; Hominidae
Description: HSALNT0243073
Source: RNAcentral
AUUGUCUUUGGACAAAGGGACAAUAGCAAAAGUGAUUCUAGAAUAGACGUGAAAAGUGCUCAUCACAGGGGCUUGCUCUCUUAUGCUCUAGGAACCCACAAGCCCAGGCUAGCCUGCUGGAGGAGGAGAGACACAUGGCCCAGUUGCUUUCUUCACUCCAGUCAACAGCCAGCAAAUGCCCAGGAAACAGAGCCACCUCGCUGACAUGAGGCUGACUGCAGGCCCAGGAGUGAGCCCAGCCAUGGCCAGCAGAACUGCUCAGCCCAAAUCACCAACCUGCCAAUCCUAGAAUAACCAGGCAAGAAUCUGGACAUUGGGUGGAUCACAAAGGAUGGUGAUGCGAGAGAUGGGAAAACCACAUGAACUCCACGACAACCCCAGCUCACAGCCUAGAAAAAUGUUUCCAGGCCACAGUACAGACAAAGGGAACCCAGGUGGAGCCAGGGAGCUUCUGAGUUGAGGAGACACAGCAGAGUCCCAGGAGAUCAAGGUGGCCAGAGUUCUUAGGACAGAGUACUGGGGAGGAGAGAGCUGCACAGAGAGCCUCAGAGAUGUGCAGAGGGUGCCCCUCAAGUAUUCAGCAGUGUACUCAUCAGCUCGUGCGUGUGAUGAAACCACCCGAGGUCCUUCUGAAAGGAGGAGAGAACAGUGCCCAGGACUCACACAGAGCCAGAAACAGUGCCCGCUGCCUCCAGCUAGACUGGAAUUGAGUAGAAUAUGCAGGAAGGCCAUGCCUCAAUAGUGGGGAAUAAUUGGUCCUAGACAGAACACUCCUCUGGAGGUCCCUAACAAAAGCAAGACCUAAAAGGAUCAGACUGUUUCCAAAUAAUUGCAUCCAAGAAAAGCUAACUGACGUAGAAACUAAAACAUAUGAGUGCUCGUGAUAUUCCAG